This 446-nucleotide ribosomal RNA is filed under the name uncultured bacterium. RNAcentral describes it as "bacterial SSU rRNA". It matches the Rfam family "Bacterial small subunit ribosomal RNA", at positions 29 to 467 of the family's 1533-position model. The record is from RNAcentral.
AUUGAACGCUGGCGGCAUGCCUAACACAUGCAAGUCGAACGGCAGCACGGCAGUAGCAAUACUGUGGGUGGCGAGUGGCGGACGGGUGAGGAAUACGUCGGAAUCUGCCCAGUCGUGGGGGAUAACUAGCCGAAAGGUUAGCUAAUACCGCAUACGACCGAGAGGUGAAAGCGGGGGACCGGCAAGGCCUCGCGCGAUUGGAUGAGCCGACGUCGGAUUAGCUAGUUGGUGGGGUAAAGGCCCACCAAGGCGACGAUCCGUAGCUGGUCUGAGAGGAUGAUCAGCCACACUGGAACUGAGACACGGUCCAGACUCCUACGGGAGGCAGCAGUGGGGAAUAUUGGACAAUGGGCGCAAGACCUGAUCCAGCAAUGCCGCGUGUGUGAAGAAGGACCUGCGGGUUGUAAAGCACUUUUGUUUCGGGUAAGAAAGUACAUGUCGGUUAA